AGGGCGUAUGGGGAAUGCCUAGGCUCUUGGAGGCGAAGAAGGACGUGGUAAGCUGCGAAAAGCUCCGGGGAUUUGCAAACAAGAAUUGAUCCGGAGAUUUCCGAAUGGGACAACCCGGCAGGUAGAAGACCUGUCACACGAAAGUGGGCCAACCCUCUGAACUGAAACAUCUUAGUAGGAGGAGGAAAAGAAAGAAACAUCGAUUUCCAAAGUAGCGGCGAGCGAAAUGGAAGGAGCCCAAACCGUAUUUGUUACGGCAAAUGCGGGGUAGUAGGACUGCAAUGUUCAAGUGACUGAGAACUGGAAUAAUCUGGAAAGGUUAUCCAUAGAGAGUGAAAGGCUCGUACAGGCAAUCAAGUCAUGCGAUAGCGGUAUCCUGAGUAGGGCGGGACACGAGGAAUCCUGUCUGAAUUCGCCGGGACCACCCGGUAAGGCUAAAUACUCCCAAGAGACCGAUAGUGAACCAGUACUGUGAAGGAAAGGUGAAAAGUACCCCGAACAGGGGAGUGAAAAAGAACCUGAAACCAUACGCUUACAACCUGUCGGAGCGGCUUUGUGCCGUGACGGCGUGCCUAUUGAAUAAUGAGCCUACGAGUUACUAAUCACUGGCGAGGUUAAGUGACAGGAGUCACGGAGCCGAAGCGAAAGCGAGUCUGAACAGGGCGGCUAGUCAGUGGUUGUAGACGCGAAACCUUGCGAUCUACCCUUGAGCAGGAUGAAGGUUGGGUAACACCAACUGGAGGUCCGCACGAAUAAGCGUUGAAAAGCUUCUCGAUGACUUGAGGGUAGGGGUGAAAGGCUAAUCAAGCUGGGAAAUAGCUCGUACUCCCCGAAAUGCCUUUAGGGGCAGCGUUGUAAUUGAGAGUCUACCGGAGGUAGAGCUACUGAUUGGAUGCGGGGGCUUCACCGCCUACCAAAUCCCGACAAACUCCGAAUGCCGGUAGUAUGAUUUACAGCAGUGAGCGGCCGGGUGCUAAUGUCCGGUCACAAAAGAGGAACAACUCAGACCAGCAACUAAGGUCCCCAAGAAUAUGCUAAGUUGAACUAACGAUGUUUUGUUGCAGAGACAGCUAGGAUGUUAGCUUGGAAGCAGCUAUUCAUUCAAAGAGUGCGUAACAGCUCACUAGUCGAGCGACAGAGCGUGGAUAAUAAACGGGCAUCAAGCAUAUCACCGAAGUUCUGGACACGAAAGUGUGGUAGGGGAGCAUUCCAUUCGCGUUGAAGUCGUUUCGCGAGAAACGGUGGAGCGUAUGGAAAAGCAAAUGUAGGCAUGAGUAACGAUAAUGCGGGAGAGUAACCCGCACACCGCAAGACCAAGGUUUCCUGAUCAACGCUAAUCGGAUCAGGGUUAGUCGGGUCCUAAGGUUAAGCCGAAAGGCGAUAUCGAUGGACAAUCGGUUAAUAUUCCGAUACUGACAUGUGCCUCGAUGGAGAGACGAAGGAACGUAAGUGCCGCCACCUGACGGAAUAGGUGGUUAAAGGGUGUAGGUAUAGGGACAGAUUAAGAGUUAGUUCCUGCUGAGACCUGACAGUACGGAGCGGCUACGGCCAAUCCGAUAGUGCACCCAAGUCGACUUCCGAGAAAAUCUUCUAAGUUAUAGUGCAUGUCACCCGUACCGUAAACCGACACAGGUGGUCGAGGAGAGUAUCCUAAGGUGCUCGAGUGAAUCACGGUUAAGGAACUAGGCAAAUUAACCCCGUAACUUCGGGACAAGGGGUCCCUACGCAAGUAGGGCGCAGCGAAGAGGUCCAGGCGACUGUUUAUCAAAAACACAGGGCUCUGCAAAUUCGAAAGAAGAAGUAUAGGGCCUGACACCUGCCCGGUGCUGGAAGGUUAAGAGGGGAUGUCAUCGCAAGAGAAGCAUUGAAUCGAAGCCCCAGUAAACGGCGGCCGUAACUAUAACGGUCCUAAGGUAGCGAAAUUCCUUGUCGGGUAAGUUCCGACCUGCACGAAUGGUGUAACGAUCUGGACACUGUCUCAACCGUGAGCUCGGUGAAAUUGUAGUCCCGGUGAAGAUGCCGGGUACCCGCGACGGGACGAAAAGACCCCGUGAACCUUUACUAUAGCUUAACGCUGAAUUUGGGUACACAAUGUGUAGGAUAGGCCGGAGGCUGUGAGACGGGCACGCCAGUGUUCGUGGAGCCGACGUUGAAAUACGGCCCUUUGUGUAUUUGAGUUCUAACCCCG
Molecule: ribosomal RNA, 2188 nt
Filed under: gut metagenome
Description: bacterial LSU rRNA
Rfam family: Bacterial large subunit ribosomal RNA
Source: RNAcentral